Molecule: long non-coding RNA, 338 nt
Organism: Marmota monax (woodchuck)
Lineage: Eukaryota; Metazoa; Chordata; Mammalia; Rodentia; Sciuridae
Exons: 2
Source: RefSeq, a predicted model, not a curated record
CAGACGUCAGCGGUUGGCCUUGUCAGGUGCUGCAGAGUCCCGGCAGCGGCGGAGGCUCCGGAGCUGGUUCUCAGUAGAGCGCAGCCCUUCAAAGCUACGUUUCUUGGAGAGAUUUGGAGACAUGAGACAUGCAGAAGGAGCUCGCCAUAUGAAGGUGAAGGCAAAAGCUAGAUGGAUGCAGCUAGAAACCGUGGCCUGCCAGCAACCUCCAAGGAGCUAUGAGGAAGCAAGAAAGGACUGUUCUUUGUGCUUCAGAGGAAAUGUGGCCCUGCUAAUUUUUAUUUUGGACUUCUGACCUCCAGAAUUGUCAAAGAAUACAUUUCUGUUGCUCUAAGUGA